GGCGAACGCUGGCGGCGUGCUUAACACAUGCAAGUCGAACGGAAAGGCCUGCUUUCCCUUGUGGAUUGCGGGUACUCGAGUGGCGAACGGGUGAGUAACACGUGAGUGAUCUGCCCCCAACUUGGGUAUAAGCCUGGGAAACUGGGUCUAAUUCCCGAUAGGACUGCAGGGUGGUGCCUGUGGUGGAAAACGAUUUUCUAGUGGUUGGGGAUGAGCUCGCGGCCUAUCAGCUUGUUGGUGGGGUAAUGGCCUACCAAGGCGGCGACGGGUAGCCGGCCUGAGGGGGUGGACGGCCACAUUGGGACUGAGAUACGGCCCAGACUCCUACGGGAGGCAGCAGUGGGGAAUAUUGCACAAUGGGCGGAAGCCUGAUGCAGCGACGCCGCGUGGGGGAUGACGGCCUUCGGGUUGUAAACUCCUUUCGACCGCGAGGAAGCCACCUGGUUGGAAGGGUGGUGACGGUAGUGGUAGAAGAAGCACCGGCUAACUACGUG
Molecule: ribosomal RNA, 494 nt
Filed under: uncultured bacterium
Lineage: Bacteria
Description: partial 16S ribosomal RNA
Rfam family: Bacterial small subunit ribosomal RNA
Source: RNAcentral